RNAcentral lists this ribosomal RNA (320 nucleotides) under uncultured eukaryote. Its description in RNAcentral is "partial 18S ribosomal RNA". It matches the Rfam family "Eukaryotic small subunit ribosomal RNA", at positions 1470 to 1796 of the family's 1831-position model. The record is from RNAcentral.
CCCUUAGACGUUCUGGGCCGCACGCGCGCUACACUGACCAGUGCAACAAGCAUCCGUCCUUGGCCGACAGGCCCGGGCAAUCUUUGAACGCUGGUCGUGAUGGGGAUAGACUUUUGCAAUUUUUGGUCUUCAACGAGGAAUUCCUAGUAAACGCAAGUCAUCAACUUGCAUUGAUUACGUCCCUGCCCUUUGUACACACCGCCCGUCGCACCUACCGAUUUCGAGUGGUCCGGUGAAGCUUUUGGACUGCGCGUGGCUUCGUGCCGUGUCGCGGAAAGUCAGCUAAACCUUAUCACUUAGAGGAAGUAAAAGUCGUAACA